UGUCAAGUUAGGCCAGAAAUAUUUGAGGUCAUUAGUACGUUUGCCCUUGUUUGUUUUUUCCACCAAUCCACUUCUCUCGGGUACAAGUAGUGCAUUCCUUUACCAGCGCGUUGGCAUGGCGGGCUUCACCCGCCUCGGUUGGAACGGGUUCCUCUGCGUCACCGAGGCCCAUUUGGGUUAAUGCAACCAGGAGGAGAGUGCCUGUCGCCUCUGCGUCAUUCAAGCGCAGGAGCUGGGAAGUGUGCCAAGGCCCGUGGGUUGGCACAGGUGAAGGCCAGGGUUAUGGCACCUGUUCAACCCACUCAACCAUGCACGCCACCUGUGCCAGGCCAUGCCACAGCCUGAGAAAUGAACUGUGCUCCUGUGUGUGUGUCUGUGUGUCAUGACACAAGACCUGCAUGGCCAGAGCUCUAGGUAUCUCAGAGUUUACAAAGGCAGAGACUGAUGCAGACAUUCCACAGAGAAUGGGCAUGUGUGAGUGUAAGGUCUUCUGCUCUAUAACUCUCAGAGUGUGUGUGUGAGUGAGUGUAAGGUCUUCUGCUCUAUAACUCUCAGAGUGUGUGUGUGAGUGAGUGUAAGGUCUUCUGCUCUAUAACUCUCAGAGUGUGUGUGUGUGUGAGUGUUUGUGUGUGUGUGUGUGUGUGUGUGUGUGAGAGUGUAAGGUCUUCUGCUCUAUGACUCUCAGAGUGUGUGUGUGUGUGUGUGUGUGUGUGAGUGAGUGUAAGGUCUUCUGCUCUAUAACUCUCAGAGUGUGUGUGUGUGUGUGUGUGUGUGUGAGUGAGUGUAAGGUCUUCUGCUCUAUAACUCUCAGAGUGUGUGUGUGUGUGUGUGUGUGUGUGUGUGAGUGAGUGAGUGUAAGGUCUCCUGCUCUAUGACUCUCAGAGUGUGUGAGUGAGUAAUUCUACUUAAUGACUGUCAGAAUAUGUGUUCCUGUGUGUGUGCAACUGUGCUCGUCACACCAGUGUGUGUGUGUGUGUGUGUGUGUGUGCAUACGUCACCUCAGUGUGUGUGUGUGU
Long non-coding RNA from Clupea harengus (Atlantic herring), 1016 nucleotides. The record is from Ensembl. Lineage: Eukaryota; Metazoa; Chordata; Actinopteri; Clupeiformes; Clupeidae.